GACGAACGCUGGCGGCGUGCUUAACACAUGCAAGUCGAACGGAAAGGCCCUGCUUUUGUGGGGUGCUCGAGUGGCGAACGGGUGAGUAACACGUGAGUAACCUGCCCUUGACUUUGGGAUAACUUCAGGAAACUGGGGCUAAUACCGGAUAGGAGCUCCUGCUGCAUGGAGGGGGUUGGAAAGUUUCGGCGGGUGGGGAUGGACUCGCGGCUUAUCAGCUUGUUGGUGGGGGAGUGGCUUACCAAGGCAUUGACGGGUAGCCGGCCUGGGAGGGUGAACGGCCUCAUGGCUCCUGCGGGAGGCCCCAGACGCCUACGGUGGACAGCAGUGGGGAAUAUUACACAGUGAGAGCGAGCCGGAUGCAGCAGCGCCGCGUGCGGAAUGACGGCCUUCGGGUUGUAAACCGCUUUAGCCUAUGACGAAGCGGUAGUGACGGUAAUGAGUGAAGAAGCACCGGCUAACUACGUG
Molecule: ribosomal RNA, 468 nt
Filed under: uncultured bacterium
Lineage: Bacteria
Description: partial 16S ribosomal RNA
Rfam family: Bacterial small subunit ribosomal RNA
Source: RNAcentral